GGGGAUGACAGGCUUCGACGGGAGAGGCUGAGCCCGGAUUGCGAGCCGAGAGGCACCGAUCUCGAUAAAUCAGUGCAAAACACAAGUGCCAAUCGCACUUCAUAUGCCGCUCUUCCUCUCGCUGCAUAGGCGAUAGAAGAUCAGCAAUGAGCCUCUUGCAGGCUCACGUCCACCUGCCCCGUCCUCCGACCGGAGGUAGAGUGGGCGUAAAAAGGUCGGAGUGCCACACACGACGCUGCUACCUGUGUGAAAGAGAGCUUUCGGGCUCUGGCAGCUAGCCAGUUGGCUUUUUUGUCGCUUGUAAGCCAGCUGACGAAUCUAACAACCGACUAUGCUCGUAGAUAUCUGCGGAUCUAUUCUUUCGGACGCGGGUUCGAUUCCCGCCAUCUCCACUU
This 395-nucleotide transfer-messenger RNA is filed under the name Anaerolineales. RNAcentral describes it as "FEB-25 sp003105035 X6 Standard tmRNA". It matches the Rfam family "transfer-messenger RNA". From Rfam's summary of the family: Bacterial tmRNA, also known as 10Sa RNA or SsrA, is named for its dual tRNA and mRNA-like properties. Its role is to liberate the mRNA from a stalled ribosome. To accomplish this part of the tmRNA is used as a reading frame that ends in a translation stop signal. The record is from RNAcentral. Lineage: Bacteria; Bacillati; Chloroflexota; Anaerolineae. RNAcentral also lists the same sequence under 1 other name.